CGCGCCAACUUUGCCUGUAUUUUCAAUGAGCCAAACGAUUUUACCCCCUCCUACACGCGAUGUAUCCUAAAGCACGCUUGUCGCGGCAACGUUCACCACAUACACACACACAUCUCCACACUCAGGGUACGACAUCUUCCCUGUUGCUGUUCUGGACUCAGACAAAAUUUGUGUUUCUACACUUAUUGUUCAAAAAAGUAGUAGCUCUUAGGAUCUGAAUUUACAAACAAAUAUCAAAAUUUUAUGUUCUGCUAAUGAUAUUGCACUAAAUUUAAUUGCACUACAUUAAGUUUUUACAUAUCUUUCGUAAAAGUUCGUCAGAGUAUGAAAAUGUCGAUACAAUUUGUCAUGAAUAAUUAAAUUUUAAGAUUUUCGCACAUAAAAUUAUGACGCGCGCUGUGUGUGCGGCGGCGUAAUUCGCUACUCGUAUAGCCGUCUCGCUUCUUCUUGUGUGUGCUUUACCGUUGCUCACCGCUUCAAGAACAUUGCUGCUCACACACACGUCAGUCUGUGGCAAACAAUUGGAGGGGGAGGAUGUGUCGGUUUGCUCCAGAAAUCGUGUGUGAUUUUGGUGUUCUGGAUUUGGUUCCAUCGCUGUUUGUUUUGGUGGAAUUGAAAAGGUAAGAAUCAUCAACUGAUGUAAAACUGUGAGAGUAAGAUGAUGCUGAUGGUGACUGAUUAUUUUCUUUGUUUCUUUUCCUGCUUUCAUCCACUGAUAGUGUCGAGCAUCGCCGAGGAUGUGAUCGAAUGCGGAAUAUUCGAAACGAGGAGAUUCAUUCCGGAUUUUGUUUGCAAUAAGCGCUGAACUAAUCCUCCAGCUUACAGGACGGCAAAGGUACACGCACAAACGUGCACACAUCAGCCUUCUCGGAGAACGAGAACACGGGAGGGGGAGACCGGCAACGUAUAGAACCUUUACGCUCCCUCGUGCGUUCGUGCGUGCGUGCGCGCGCGCGUCUAUGUGUGUGUAUGUGUGUGCAUGCCUGCGUGCGUGGCUGUGUGUGUUUUUGCCGCUUCGCAUAACGAGAUCCUACGGGAUCACCUUGCGAAAAACACCAAGAGAGGGGGAGGGGUAGGUAUGUGUGUAUGUGUGUGUGUAUGUG
Molecule: long non-coding RNA, 1103 nt
Organism: Anopheles coluzzii
Lineage: Eukaryota; Metazoa; Arthropoda; Insecta; Diptera; Culicidae
Exons: 2
Source: RefSeq, a predicted model, not a curated record